Molecule: small nuclear RNA, 109 nt
Organism: Euleptes europaea (tarantolino)
Lineage: Eukaryota; Metazoa; Chordata; Lepidosauria; Squamata; Sphaerodactylidae
Source: RefSeq, a predicted model, not a curated record
GUGAUCCAUAUCAUUUCAGCAGCACAUAUACUAAAAAUUGGAAUAAUACAGAGAAGAUUAGCAUGGCCCCCACAGUGAUCCAUGUUCCAAUUAUAUCCAGAUUAUAUUA